AUCUACCUAGUAGUACGGAAUAAUUGUUGGAAACGACAACUAAUACCGUAUACGCCCUACGGGGGAAAAAUUUAUUGCUAUUAGAUGAGCCUAUAUUAGAUUAGCUAGUUGGUGGGGUAAUAGCCUACCAAGGUAAUGAUCUAUAGCUGAUCUGAGAGGAUGAUCAGCCACACUGGAACUGAGAUACGGUCCAGACUCCUACGGGAGGCAGCAGUGGGGAAUAUUGGACAAUGGGCGAAAGCCUGAUCCAGCCAUGCCGCAUGAGUGAAGAAGGCCUUUGGGUUGUAAAGCUCUUUUAGUGAGGAAGAUAAUGACGGUACUCACAGAAGAAGUCCUGGCUAACUCCGUGCCAGCAGCCGCGGUAAUACGGAGAGGGCUAGCGUUAUUCGGAAUUAUUGGGCGUAAAGGGCGCGUAGGCUGGUUAAUAAGUUAAAAGUGAAAUCCCGAGGCUUAACCUUGGAAUUGCUUUUAAAACUAUUAAUCUAGAGAUUGAAAGAGGAUAGGGGAAUUCCUGAUGUAGAGGUAAAAUUCGUAAAUAUUAGGAGGAACACCAGUGGCGAAGGCGUCUAUCUGGUUCAAAUCUGACGCUGAAGCGCGAAGGCGUGGGGAGCAAACAGGAUUAGAUACCCUGGUAGUCCACGCUGUAAACGAUGAAUGUUAAAUAUGGGGAGUUUACUUUUCUGUAUUACAGCUAACGCGUUAAACAUUCCGCCUGGGGACUACGGUCGCAAGAUUAAAACUCAAAGGAAUUGACGGGGACCCGCACAAGCGGUGGAGCAUGUGGUUUAAUUCGAUGCAACGCGAAAACCUUACCACUUCUUGACAUGAAAAUCAUACUUAUUUC
This 844-nucleotide ribosomal RNA is filed under the name Wolbachia pipientis. RNAcentral describes it as "bacterial SSU rRNA". It matches the Rfam family "Bacterial small subunit ribosomal RNA", at positions 124 to 1005 of the family's 1533-position model. Lineage: Bacteria; Pseudomonadati; Pseudomonadota; Alphaproteobacteria; Rickettsiales; Anaplasmataceae. The record is from RNAcentral.